AGACAAUGAAGGGGACGCAGCCUCCCUGUUUCCAUCUUGAACACAACCAGUGACACCCCACAACACGUGGGACCACAAGAAUCAGCAUCAGCCUGCGUCCUGCUGUCAUGUGUAUCUACAAAGAAGGAACAAGACCACGAGAAUGAAUGGCCAUCACCACAGGGCCAGCCCUGACCUCCUGUCCUGUUGUGGGCAGGGCUCGUUAACAAGAGCUCAGGUGUCUGUUCAGGUCAAACGGGCAGCAAACAGUAAUGUCUUGCCAAAAAACGUUGCCAGGUGGCUCAGGGGAUCUGGGUCGUGGGGACACAUCUUGGAAGUUACUGGAGCUCUCCUCAGUGAGGACAGAGACAUCAUGGGGGACAGGCAGGUGUCAGGGUGGGCCCCUCAGCCGUGAGCUGCCCACCAACCUGGGUGGCCAUAGCCUCCUAGUGAGCUGCACCUGGGGAGGAUGGGGCAGCCCGUCCCCAUGGCAUUUCCCCUUGGGGGGCUCCUGCCUCAGUUCUGGGGGGACAAGGGCUGGAUUAAGCACAGCAAUCAAAAGAGAUGAGCUAAUAGACACGUGGGCACAUAAAUGCACCGCAAGGGAAACAGCUGGUCCAAAAUGUCACAUUGCUUUGGCUCCAACUGUAUGACUCCAAUAAAAUGGGGAAACAGUAGACCAUGGAAACAUUAAGGUUGCUGGGGAUUCCGGGAAAAGGGGGAGGUGGACAUCUGUAGAGGGGGACGCCUGGUGUGGUGGACCUACUCCCUAAGCUACUCAUGGUGGCUACUCAAUGCUGUGCUUUUGUCACUAUUUAUAGAAAUACAAAACAAAGAGGUUGAUUAAUGAUGAUCUAUCCACAUCAAUAUUAGUAUAUUGGCCCAGUAAUUGUGACAAAUAUCACAGAAGUGCAAGAUGUAAGUAAUAAGGAGAACCCUGUGGUGGAUAGCCGUAUGGGGACUCUAGAGUAUGUCUGCAUUUUUCUGUCCAGGUAUGUCAUUAAAAAAAAUAAAGUCAAUUAAGUGCAACAUACAGAAUAUGCUCAGGGACUUCUGUGGACUCAGCAUCCCGUCUGCAGAAGGAGCCCUCACCCAGGGCACACAGAUGCUUUUGUACCUGAGUUAAUUAUGCACAGCACCCAGCCUCACCUUUACUGACUUUGCCUUUGAGGUUUUGCUGGUCCUUUUAUACCAGUACGUCCAACAAAUUAAUUUUUAUAUUUUCAUUCCUUUUUAUACAGAAACAUGAAGAAAAGUCCCUAGGAAGGACACCAGUUCCUUAGGUCCCCAAAUUUUUAAACACCCUUCUGUCACCCAAGAAUGAUUAGUAAUUUUCCAGUAAUGUAACUAGUGAUUCCUUAACUAUGGAGGAAAAUGUGUUCCAAGUGAUCCUACACCACUCAGGCUUGAGGAGAAAAA
This 1398-nucleotide long non-coding RNA is filed under the name Marmota monax (woodchuck). The record is from RNAcentral. Lineage: Eukaryota; Metazoa; Chordata; Mammalia; Rodentia; Sciuridae.